CCUGGUUGAUCCUGCCAGUAGUGAUAUGCUUGUCUCAAAGAUUAAGCCAUGCAUGUCUGAGUACAGACCGAUCUAAGGUGAAACCGCGAAUGGCUCAUUAAAUCAGUCAUAAUUCCUUGGAUAGUGAAAAACUUCCUCGGAUAACUGUGGAAAAUCCAGAGCUAAUACGUGCGACUGAGCUCCGACCUCGGCGCGAGCCUUGGGAAGAGCGCAUUUAUUAGAUUCAAAACUGACCGGCGUACUCCUUCGGGAUGCGCCGUUUGUCUAAAGUUUGAUGACUCCGGAUAACUUAGCCGAGCGCUACGGUCCUAGUACCGGCGCCGUAUCUUUCAAGUGUCUGCCUUAUCAGCUUUCGAUUGUAGGUUAAACGCCUACAAUGGCUGUAACGGGUAACGGGGAAUCAGGGUUCGAUUCCGGAGAGGGAGCCUGAGAAACGGCUACCACAUCUAAGGAAGGCAGCAGGCACGCAAAUUACCCACUCCCAGCCCGGGGAGGUAGUGACGAAAAAUAACGAUGCGAGACUCUUCCGAGGCCUCGCAAUCGGAAUGAGUCCAGUUUAAAUCCUUGGACGAGGAUCCAUUGGAGGGCAAGUCUGGUGCCAGCAGCCGCGGUAAUUCCAGCUCCAAUAGCGUAUAUUAAAGUUGCUGCGGUUAAAAAGCUCGUAGUUGGACUUCCUAGAUCCAUUUCACGAACGAGUCGCUCGUUGAGCUAGCUUCUCGCGCAGUCACUUACCGAAGUCGUAUCGCUCCGUUUUUCGUGUAUUGUACUUGUACUUUCCGUUGAUGGUUGCGUACGUUCUGAGGGAAGCGGACGACGGGAGGCUGUCUUCGAGUAUCGCUCGUCCGCGUUUGGUACAAUUAAAAUUUUGUCGGCUCGCUCGGAGUGCUCUUUACCGAGUGUUCCAGGGUGGCCGACACGUUCACUUUGAAAAAAUUAGAGUGCUUAAAGCGGGCUCAUACGUGGCCUGAAUGUCUGUGCAUGGAAUGAAGUAACAGGACCUCGAUUCUGUUGUUUUUGUCGGUUUUAUUGAACCGAGGUAAUGAUUAAAAGGGACAGACGGUGGCAUUAGUAUUGCGGCGCUAGAGGUGAAAUUCUUGGACCGCUGCAAGACUAACUACUGCGAAAGCAUUUGCCGAGAAUGUUUUCAUUAAUCAAGAACGAAAGUUAGAGGAUCGAAGGCGAUCAGAUACCGCCCUAGUUCUAACCCUAAACUAUGCUAACUAGCGAUCCGCCGGAGUCAUUCCCACGACCCGGCGGGAAGCCCCAGGGAAACCAAAGUCUUUGAGUUCCGGGGGAAGUAUGGUUGCAAAGCUGAAACUUAAAGGAAUUGACGGAAGGGCACCACCAGGAGUGGAGCCUGCGGCUUAAUUUGACUCAACACGGGAAACCUCACCAGGCCCGGACAUCAUAAGGAUUGACAGGUUGAGAGCUCUUUCUCGAUUUGAUGGGUGGUGGUGCAUGGCCGUUCUUAGUUGGUGGAGUGAUCUGUCUGGUUGAUUCCGAUAACGAACGAGACUCUGCCCUACUAACUAGUCGACGGAUCGUAACCCUGAGAUGGCCGUUCGUAUAGGUCGGUAUGUCCUAGAUGUAGCACUCUUGGUCGCUUGUCGUGCAUGCCUCGCGUGUGUAUCGGCUCGUGGUCGGGGUCUUCGUCGAAGCUGCCGUCUGAUUGCGACGACUGCUGGGGGCGUCCGUCGCAAUGUAUCUUCUUAGAGGGAUCAGCGGCGUAUAGCCGCACGAGAUAGAGCAAUAACAGGUCUGUGAUGCCCUUAGAUGUUCUGGGCCGCACGCGCGCUACAAUGUAUAGAUCAGCGUGCUUUCCCUCUCCGAAAGGAGCGGGUAACCCGAUGAAACCCAUACCCGAUUGGGAUUGGGGAUUGCAAAUAUUUCCCAUAAACGAGGAAUUCCCAGUAAGCGCGAAUCAUUAAUUCGCGCUGAUUACGUCCCUGCCCUUUGUACACACCGCCCGUCGCUACUACCGAUUGAAUGAUUCAGUGAGGGCAUCGGACUGGCGCCUUCGGUUUAGUAACAUAGACCUUAGGCUGACGGAAAGAUGUCCGAACUUGAUCAUUUAGAGGAAGUAAAAGUCGUAACAAGGUUUCCGUAGUGAACCUGCGGAAGGA
RNAcentral lists this ribosomal RNA (2123 nucleotides) under Disconectes sp. 2 MR-2008. Its description in RNAcentral is "SSU rRNA". It matches the Rfam family "Eukaryotic small subunit ribosomal RNA". Lineage: Eukaryota; Metazoa; Arthropoda; Malacostraca; Isopoda; Munnopsidae. The record is from RNAcentral.